Molecule: RNA transcript, 2976 nt
Organism: Asparagus officinalis (garden asparagus)
Lineage: Eukaryota; Viridiplantae; Streptophyta; Magnoliopsida; Asparagales; Asparagaceae
Gene name: importin subunit beta-3-like
Exons: 6
Source: RefSeq, a predicted model, not a curated record
CUCCUCCCUCCCCCCAAUUUCAUUGGUCCCGCCCCGAGAAAAAAAAACCCUAACCCCAAAAAAUUCCGCUGCCCUUAAUCUGCUCCCUCAGACGCCCCCCUCUCCCUCUCUCUCUCUCUCUCGUCUAUCUCUCCUCUCAGAUCUCUCUAUCCGAGAUCCAGGGGCGCCGCUGAGGCGGUUCCCCCGGUUCUGCGAACAGGGCCCCCCACUUGGGGGCCCCCCAUUCCUCCUCCUCUUCCCCUCUCACCCUCCCCAAAAUUCUCCAUCGUCAUCGACGCCGGCAGCACCGGGACCCGAAUCCACGUGUUCGGGUACAAGGCCCGACCCAGAUCUGCGAUCCCUUUUGAGAUUGAUCUCGACUCGACGGCGGAGAUGAAGGUGAGGCCUGGGCUCUCGGCUUUUGCGGGGGAUCCGGGGAGAGCCGGGGAUUCGUUGAGGGAGUUGGUGGAGUUCAAUCUUGGCUCGAUUCUCUAGAAACGAGUUCAGUCUGGAUUCGAAAGCCACCAUUGGGGUUGAGUUUCAGACUUGAACCCUCGCGAUUGAUCACAAGACCGUCAAGGCCCAGAUUUGGGGCACCGCUGGCCAAGAAAGGUAAUAAAUAAAUUCUUCGAAUUCUGGGUAUAAUUUGAUUUGUAGAGGAUAUUUUUGUUAAUUAUGUUUGAAUAAUGGAAAAGAUGCCGCGGCAUUAGUUGAUCUUUCCUCUGAGAUGCGGCGCAUUGGGGAAGGAUUUUAAUGUUCAAAUGCCACCAGAUACAUGAAUUUAAAGCAGAAUUCAAAAUAAAUGCUGCAGCACGAAUCCAUGUUUCGAUACAUGACAAAGGCACGCAAUCUGUUAACGCAUAUUAGAAUAUUGUUGUUUCGAUUGAGGUAGAUUACUGGGCGCUUUCACAGAACCUCGCAUGAAACUUAGCUCAUUCGAUAAAAUUGUUUCUUGGAUUAACUUUGUACGUUAGGAACUGGCUGUUGACCAUCUGUUUUUUUUUGGGUCCUUGUUUGUUUCCCCCCCUAAUAAUGGGAUUAAUGGAGAUGAUAUUUGGUGAUUAUUACAAGGCAUUGGGAGUUUGACUUGAUAGGAUAUCUAGUUCUGUUCUUUAGAUGGAAAUAAUUGAUAGUGAUUCCAAUAUAACCUCCAUUUUCCCUUGCACUUCUUAAACCCCAUUGUGAUCUUGUUCAUUUUGCUUAUCCAAUCACAAACCUCGAAAAAACAAUAAAAGUGACUGCUAUUUUAUGUUAAGACAGCUUUAAAAUCUUGGUUUAUCAUGGUUCUAGCUCUUCUUUAUUGGAAUUACUAUUCGGAAUGGUUGUAAUAAGAAGAAAGGCAUCCACGUAGAGACACCGGAAUUGUUGGAGGUAAAGUGUUUAUUGUUGCUGUUCUUGACCUUGUUGUACGAGUCAUUUAUUUGCUGGUAUAUAAUUCAUCAAUAUAACCUCAUCAAUAUAAGAGAAACCCUCAUCUCAAUGCGCAUGCCUACCUACUCAUAAAUCCUCAAAUGACAUUAUGCCGUUUGACUGUAAUAUAUGAGUUUGGUUAGAUGUGGCUAGUUUAUGGACCAUAUCUUUAAUAAUAUUGUUUUUCCUCCGUUUUUUUUUCAACCUUUUCUUUCACAAAAAGGAUUAGAACUUUUCAGUACAUAAACUUUAAUCCCUUUUGAGGGUUGCCGGCUUUUAUGUCUCCAACUUACUUCAGUAUCAUUGGUUCACACCACUUGACGAUGCAUGUGAAGCUUUAUAGGACUUGUUCUAGAUGUCCUUGUAUACGCCUGAAAAUGGUCAGUAGAUCCUCUUAAAGUUUUCUAGAGUGCCCUUUUCUAUGGGAAAAAAAAUCCUUUAAUUCCUAGUCUUAGUUUGGAUUCUAAUUCUUGCACUGCUCUUGGAUAAUUUUACAAGUGAAAUAUGAGAGGAUGAAUCAGGCGAAUGAUUAUGACUGCUUUGAAGUUCGAUACACAUAUUGGAUGAACGCAAGCUUCUGUUGAUCAUUGUAGCAUGGGUUUGGAUUUCUUCUGUUCUGGCUGCUGACUUGAUGAUUGGUUUAAAGAUAACUUUUCUUAAUUACUUGUGUGGAUGUUUUUUAAUGAGUUAAAGAGACUUUAACAAGCCUGCAGCUUUCAUUGGUUUAAGAGCCGAUAGCAGAAGACUCCUUUCAGCCCUCUGCCAUGCUACCCUCCGUCAAAUUUUAUAGGAUUGAUUGCAGGGUAAACUCUAUAUGCUAUCGCCAAUUUGAGAUCACUAUCCGUCAAGUUCUAGUGUGUUGCAGAUAGAUGGCUUAUAUUGCAGCUCCCGAGUGGCAGAAACAUCAUGCUGCUUUGAUUACACUUGCACAGAUUGCAGAAGGUUGUUCAAAGGUCACGAUUAAGAAUUUGGAGCAAGUGGUGCACAUGGUCUUGAACUCAUUUCAAGAUCCACAUCCAAGAGUGAGAUGGGCAGCGAUUAAUGCCAUUGGACAGCUUUCUACGGAUUUGGGUCCGGAUUUGCAAGUGCAGUACCACCAGAGGGUGCUACCUGCUUUGGCAUCUGCGAUGGAUGAUUUCCAGAACCCUCGUGUGCAGGAAACAUCUCAUGAAGAACAAGCAUAUAAACGAGGAUGGUUGGUGAGACUACAAAGAUAGGUCAGCGUAAAAGGAAGAACAGUAUUAUGGUGGAGAAUUAUGCGAGGGAUGUGAAUGCCAUGGAAGGCCUUACGCAAGUCAGUCAAGAAGCUCCCCAAGAUGGACCAGUUACAAAGUUGUUAUGCUUUGAAAAGCUGCAGUACUAGUACUCAAUUUCUGAAGAUGAUGAGUCUCCCAAGUCAUAUGUAAUGCAACAAAGUUAGUUUUUGUUGUUCUGUGUACUAUGGUUAAUUUCUUGUACUCCAUGUUGGAUUAUCCAAAGACUAGUAUUUGUUUUUUGGCACGUUUGUGUUGACUCUUCCUGUAUGCUACAACUUGGUUAUGUAUCAGUUUGAACGUUUAAAUGAAAUAUUUGCUUUUAUGGUUGUCA